This 392-nucleotide transfer-messenger RNA is filed under the name Burkholderiales. Its description in RNAcentral is "SG8-41 sp001771935 Standard tmRNA". It matches the Rfam family "transfer-messenger RNA". Rfam says of the family: Bacterial tmRNA, also known as 10Sa RNA or SsrA, is named for its dual tRNA and mRNA-like properties. The record is from RNAcentral. RNAcentral also lists the same sequence under 1 other name. Lineage: Bacteria; Pseudomonadati; Pseudomonadota; Betaproteobacteria.
GGGGGCGACCCGGUUUCGACGUGGGUCACGAAGCAGUACAGGGCAUGCCAAGGUCCAGUCACCUUGUAAAUCCGCUGGAAACUAUAAACGCCAACGACGAGCGUUACGCUCUAGCCGCCUAACACCGGCUAGACGCUGCACUAGCUUGCUGAUGGGCUAGGCCGGAGGGAUUAGCGAGGCGCAAGCCAAGCUUGUUCAACCGGUGCAGCGUCAUUGACAUCAGCCUCUCCCACGGUCUGGUCGCUUGGCCGUGCGGAUCCGUCGAAGCGACUGGCUGAGCGUCAGCCUGCCGGCCGGCGGGCGCGAGGCGAGACCCAAAUGACCUGGCUAAGCAUGUAGUCCUGGCUGUGUAGGGCUUGCGGACGGCGGUUCGAUUCCGCCCGCCUCCACCA